GCUGURCAAUGAUGAUAUUUUGGCUCCCUCUACUGACACUAGUGAGGAAAGCAGCCAUACGUUACCCAAUGUUUCUGAGAGUACAGC
Small nucleolar RNA from Nothoprocta perdicaria, 87 nucleotides. Ensembl annotates it as small nucleolar RNA, C/D box 100. The record is from Ensembl. Lineage: Eukaryota; Metazoa; Chordata; Aves; Tinamiformes; Tinamidae.